This 69-nucleotide transfer RNA is filed under the name Schistosoma margrebowiei. RNAcentral describes it as "tRNA-Leu". The record is from RNAcentral. Lineage: Eukaryota; Metazoa; Platyhelminthes; Trematoda; Strigeidida; Schistosomatidae.
GAUAGGAUGCCAGAGAAUUAUGGGUUAGAUUUAGGAUCUAAAUAUGGACAGUGGGUUGUUCUCCUAUAG